RNAcentral lists this ribosomal RNA (465 nucleotides) under uncultured bacterium. Its description in RNAcentral is "partial 16S ribosomal RNA". It matches the Rfam family "Bacterial small subunit ribosomal RNA", at positions 28 to 507 of the family's 1533-position model. The record is from RNAcentral.
GACGAACGCUGGCGGCGUGCUUAAUACAUGCAAGUCGAACGGAAAGGCCCUGCUUGCAGGGUACUCGAGUGGCGAACGGGUGAGUAACACGUGGGUGAUCUGCCCUGCACUUCGGGAUAAGCCUGGGAAACUGGGUCUAAUACCGGAUAGGAGCCAUUUUUAGUGUGAUGGUUGGAAAGUUUUUUCGGUGUAGGAUGAGCUCGCGGCCUAUCAGCUUGUUGGUGGGGUAAUGGCCUACCAAGGCGGCGACGGGUAGCCGGCCUGAGAGGGUGGACGGCCACAUUGGAACUGAGAUACGGCCCAGACUCCUACGGGAGGCAGCAGUGGGGAAUAUUGCACAAUGGGCGCAAGCCUGAUGCAGCGACGCCGCGUGGGGGAUGACGGCCUUCGGGUUGUAAACUCCUUUCGCUAGGGACGAAGCUUUUUGUGACGGUACCUAGAUAAGAAGCACCGGCUAACUACGUG